Labrus bergylta (ballan wrasse) is the source of this 1749-nucleotide non-coding RNA. NCBI's taxonomy places the organism in Eukaryota, Metazoa, Chordata, Actinopteri, Labriformes, Labridae. The record is from RefSeq and is a predicted model, not a curated record.
CACCUUUCUAUGAAACUCUUUCCAGCACUUUCACUUGGACCGAUCCCUGUUGCUGCCUCCUGUUUGCGUCUGACCUGCCUGCUUUGUCGUAAUGCCAGAAAUCAUCUCAGCCUUCUGUCCCCCAAGUCAAGUUGUAUCUCAUUGUUCCUGGUUCCCGUCUGCCUCUCCCUCUGGGCUGUUUGGCCCCUCAUCAGCUCUACUGUAAAAUAGGAGUCACUCAGGGGAAAGGAGCCUUCCUGUGUUCCAGGAUAUAGCAAAGUUUUGGUGAAACAAUGAAGAUCAAAGCUCCUGACUUCCUCUGGAAACCGAUGAAAGUAUUGAGCUCUGGUAUUGAAGGCCUGGUGAAACAAAAAGACAUCAAAGCUCCAGAGCGCUGCUGGAAACCAAUGUCUGCGUGGAAGGCAUCCCUUUCUCCAUCCAGCACAUAGAGCCAGAAUGCUUUGAAGAGGAGAUCUUUAUAGCCAGGACCUGAGAACCACAAAGACCCAACAUCAAUCCAUCAUGAGCACAGCAAUAAGCAACAUUUAGCCAAGAUACAGUGGCAAGCAAAAACGUCCUAUAAGAGGCAGAAACCUCGAGCAAAAGCAGACUCCAAAGCAGCAGACCAUCCCCACCAACGAUCCCGAGGAACCUGUGAGACAUGAGAGCUCAGGAGCUCCCAGGAAAAGAUGUGAAAAUUGACCGGACGUUUUAAUGUUUUUUUCGGUGUCUGACUUCCUGUCCUGCUGGAUAUUUUCUGUUGUAAACUGAUGCGCCGUGCUCCAGGAUCCGGCAAAACUAGAAGCGCAUCUGCUGCAGAAGGCUCUGGACUGACGAAGCUGGAACGCAGCGCAGCGGAGCCAGAGGAAACACACACAUUGAAUAAAAUAAAAUCUAUUAGCUUCACUCUGUUACGGCAGCCGAGACGGACUAAACACGCAUCUGGUGGAAUUUAGAGGUCAUAUUUAGGUAAUAUCUAUGUUUUUGUGGAGUUGGAUAGAAACGGCACAACAGAAACCAUUUCCGGUCAUUAUCAAUGCCAUGGCGAUCGCUGCAGAAAUCUCAAAAUGUGUUUAUUAUGCAAAAUUAGAUUUUCAGAGGAAGAGGGGAAUUAAAGCGAGAUAGAAAACUACCCGAGAGAUAACCAACCGACAUGAAGAGGCAGAAAAGCGUACCAUGACACUAUACACAGCUUGAGCAUCAUGUACAGUAAAAAGCCAUCAUCCCAGGUGGACUUUUGAGCUCUUCAUAAGACAUCCAAUGACUUGAUUGCUACAUCAAAACAACAAGGUAGAGGAGAGCGUUUAGGAGAGGUGAUCGAGGAUUACCUGCUGCGUCAUAUUUAGACACCUUUUAGGAGACUGACCCUGCACUGAAAGAAGAUCCCAAAAACAAACAGAAGAACACAGACAACUCAUCCUGCAGCCUUUUGUGGGGAAUGCACUUACUUUGAAACACAAGAAGAAGAAUGAAAAAUACAUCAAUCACAUGGAUUAAAAAACACAGUCUACAGAUCAAAUAUAAUGCCCUCAUCACUCGUCAUUUACAUAAUUUAUGGAUUAUGUCCUUUGGUUAAAUAUUCAUCGUCUGAGCUCACACAGGAGUCUUACUGGACCCUCAAACCCCGGCACACCAACACGGAGCAGACAGUUGUCUUGCACCGCUUGUUAUUGAAUAAUGAAGCAAGGCCAUUUGGUUCAUUAAUAAUUCAUAGUACGAUAUAAAAUAACCUUGGGCCAAGCCUUGGCUCAAAAGAUGAAAGAACAGACA